Molecule: ribosomal RNA, 467 nt
Filed under: uncultured bacterium
Lineage: Bacteria
Description: partial 16S ribosomal RNA
Rfam family: Bacterial small subunit ribosomal RNA
Source: RNAcentral
GACGAACGCUGGCGGCGUGCUUAACACAUGCAAGUCGAACGGAAAGGCCCUGCUUUUGUGGGGUGCUCGAGUGGCGAACGGGUGAGUAACACGUGAGUAACCUGCCCUUGACUUUGGGAUAACUUCAGGAAACUGGGGCUAAUACCGGAUAGGAGCUCCUGCUGCAUGGUGGGGGUUGGAAAGUUUCGGCGGUUGGGGAUGGACUCGGGGCUUAUCAGCUUGUUGGUGGGGUAGUGGCUUACCAAGGCUUUGACGGGUAGCCGGCCUGAGAGGGUGACCGGCCACAUAGGGACUGAGGUACGGCCCAGACGCCAGCGGGAGGCAGCAGUGGGGAAUAUGGCACAAUGGGCGGAAGCCGGAUGCAGCAACGCCGCGUGCGGGAUGACGGCCUUCGGGUUGUAAACCGCUUUCGCGUGUGACGAAGCGUGGGUGACGGUAAUGGGGAAAGAAGCACCGGCUAACUACGU